This 340-nucleotide long non-coding RNA is filed under the name Oryza sativa Indica Group (long-grained rice). RNAcentral's name for it is "lncRNA OsMH63_07G013440". Lineage: Eukaryota; Viridiplantae; Streptophyta; Magnoliopsida; Poales; Poaceae. The record is from RNAcentral.
AUGUACAUUAUUGCAAAUACAUUUUCAUCAGAGAAUACAUUAAUCACAAAAGCUGAAGACAAAAGAAAUAGUAACAAUGAGGAUGCUGUAUAUGACAAGGAAUAUGAAAAAGACGGCUCGCCCACAGAGAACAUCAAUGUAUAUGACAAAAUACGAGCGUGCACGCAUCCUUGGUACACUGCCUUGCAGAUAAGCAUGAAUGCUCUUGUUAUGGUCGAGCUUGAUGGGGAGACUGAUCCACUUGAGGUAAAGUUCCGAUUUCAGAUUUCACAAAUCUUCAUAAUGUGGGCACGACCGCGAUGUCCUGAUUAUGAUAUUGGUGGUGUUUGAAUCUUCUGAA